Molecule: ribosomal RNA, 253 nt
Filed under: uncultured bacterium
Lineage: Bacteria
Description: partial 16S ribosomal RNA
Rfam family: Bacterial small subunit ribosomal RNA
Source: RNAcentral
GACGGAGGAUGCAAGUGUUAUCCGGAAUCACUGGGCGUAAAGCGUCUGUAGGUGGUUCGAAAAGUCCACUGUUAAAAAUUGAGGCUUAACUUCAAAGAUGCCGUGGAAACUUUCAAACUAGAGUAUGGUAGGGGUAGAGGGAAUUUCCAGUGGAGCGGUGAAAUGCGUAGAUAUUGGAAAGACCACCGAUGGCGAAGGCACUCUACUGGGCCACUACUGACACUGAGAGACGAAAGCUAGGGGAGCGAAUGGG